Molecule: ribosomal RNA, 1372 nt
Filed under: uncultured bacterium
Lineage: Bacteria
Description: bacterial SSU rRNA
Rfam family: Bacterial small subunit ribosomal RNA
Source: RNAcentral
GAUGAACGCUGGCGGCGUGCCUAAUACAUGCAAGUCGAGCGAACGGACGAGAAGCUUGCUUCUCUGAUGUUAGCGGCGGACGGGUGAGUAACACGUGGAUAACCUACCUAUAAGACUGGGAUAACUUCGGGAAACCGGAGCUAAUACCGGAUAAUAUUUUGAACCGCAUGGUUCAAAAGUGAAAGACGGUCUUGCUGUCACUUAUAGAUGGAUCCGCGCUGCAUUAGCUAGUUGGUAAGGUAACGGCUUACCAAGGCAACGAUGCAUAGCCGACCUGAGAGGGUGAUCGGCCACACUGGAACUGAGACACGGUCCAGACUCCUACGGGAGGCAGCAGUAGGGAAUCUUCCGCAAUGGGCGAAAGCCUGACGGAGCAACGCCGCGUGAGUGAUGAAGGUCUUCGGAUCGUAAAACUCUGUUAUUAGGGAAGAACAUAUGUGUAAGUAACUGUGCACAUCUUGACGGUACCUAAUCAGAAAGCCACGGCUAACUACGUGCCAGCAGCCGCGGUAAUACGUAGGUGGCAAGCGUUAUCCGGAAUUAUUGGGCGUAAAGCGCGCGUAGGCGGUUUUUUAAGUCUGAUGUGAAAGCCCACGGCUCAACCGUGGAGGGUCAUUGGAAACUGGAAAACUUGAGUGCAGAAGAGGAAAGUGGAAUUCCAUGUGUAGCGGUGAAAUGCGCAGAGAUAUGGAGGAACACCAGUGGCGAAGGCGACUUUCUGGUCUGUAACUGGCGCUGAUGUGCGAAAGCGUGGGGAUCAAACAGGAUUAGAUACCCUGGUAGUCCACGCCGUAAACGAUGAGUGCUAAGUGUUAGGGGGUUUCCGCCCCUUAGUGCUGCAGCUAACGCAUUAAGCACUCCGCCUGGGGAGUACGACCGCAAGGUUGAAACUCAAAGGAAUUGACGGGGACCCGCACAAGCGGUGGAGCAUGUGGUUUAAUUCGAAGCAACGCGAAGAACCUUACCAAAUCUUGACAUCCUUUGACAACUCUAGAGAUAGAGCCUUCCCCUUCGGGGGACAAAGUGACAGGUGGUGCAUGGUUGUCGUCAGCUCGUGUCGUGAGAUGUUGGGUUAAGUCCCGCAACGAGCGCAACCCUUAAGCUUAGUUGCCAUCAUUAAGUUGGGCACUCUAAGUUGACUGCCGGUGACAAACCGGAGGAAGGUGGGGAUGACGUCAAAUCAUCAUGCCCCUUAUGAUUUGGGCUACACACGUGCUACAAUGGACAAUACAAAGGGCAGCGAAACCGCGAGGUCAAGCAAAUCCCAUAAAGUUGUUCUCAGUUCGGAUUGUAGUCUGCAACUCGACUACAUGAAGCUGGAAUCGCUAGUAAUCGUAGAUCAGCAUGCUACGGUGAAUACGUUCCCGGGUCU